UGUGCCAGGAGCUGAGGCCUGUGAAGUUAGACGUGAAGCCGCAUAACCUCCAACCAUCAAUGAAGGCAGUGAUUAUUGGAUAGUUCCAGUAUUGACAGCUCAGGCGAUGACCGGGCACUGCCAGGCUUUGUGUGCUCGCUUGAUUCAAAGGAAAAGAAAAUUUUGAAAAUAAUGGGGAAUCUCAGAGUUAUUUUACAAGCAAGGACCCUUGGUGGUGUGCAUAUAUUAACUAUAUUCAUUCAAAACACAAUGAAUACUCCCCCUGAAAGGUGGGAAGAAGGGAAACCAUUGAGAAUAAGUGGACAGUUAGCUAAUAGUUAACUAUCAGUUAGUAUGUAUGAAUCUUUGGCCAAGAAUCAUCUGAAUCUAAUUUAUUCUCUGAAGAUAGAAAAGGGGGGAACGAUGGAACUAUGGACUACGGUCAACUCACACUAAGAGACGCUUGCUUGCGUUGGUAGCUCUACAAGAUUAGAACCUUGAGGGGA
RNAcentral lists this small RNA (485 nucleotides) under Histoplasma capsulatum. RNAcentral's name for it is "hypothetical RNA". The record is from RNAcentral. Lineage: Eukaryota; Fungi; Ascomycota; Eurotiomycetes; Onygenales; Ajellomycetaceae. RNAcentral also lists the same sequence under 1 other name.